Ictidomys tridecemlineatus (thirteen-lined ground squirrel) is the source of this 823-nucleotide long non-coding RNA. RefSeq lists it as uncharacterized. Lineage: Eukaryota; Metazoa; Chordata; Mammalia; Rodentia; Sciuridae. The record is from RefSeq and is a predicted model, not a curated record.
GUUGCUGAGGCUGGCCUAGAAUUUGCAAUCCUCCUGAGUGUCUGGGAUUAGAAAUUCUCCCAGCCAGAAUAAUUGCUUUUUAUCUGGCAAGGCUCCAGGGGGUGCAUACCACCCACACUACCACCCACACUACCACCCGCACCCACCCACCACCCAUUCAUGUGUUGAAGCUCUGAUCCCUGGAACCUCAGAAUGUGACUUUACCUGAAGAUAAGCUCCUUAGAGCAGUGAUUAGGUCUAAAGGAGGUAUUUGGGGUGUGCCGUAAUCCGUAAUCCGGCAGGGCUGAUGUCUCAGUAAGAAGAAGAGAUACCAGAGGGAAGGCCACGUGGGGACACAGCAGGAGGGCGGCCAUCUGCAAGCCCAGGACAGCAGCCUCCGGAGAAACCAGACCUGCUGACACCAACUCCCAGCUUCCAGAGCAGUGGAAAACCCGUUUCUGUUGUUCAAAGUGUCUGUGGCACUUGGCUCCAACAGCCUGAGCAGACAGAUGCACAGCCAGCCUGCAUCUGUGCCGAAGGGAGGGACCUGUCCGGAGAAGAUCCCUGCCCUAUGCAUGCCUUGUCCUGUCACCUGCCAUCUGCCACUGUGGACCCCUGGACAGCCCUCAUGCUGAAUACCCUUAACUUCCAUGCCCCACCUGAUGGAGAACAAGGACUUCAGGUCACUUCCCCCAACACUGCCCCUUUUCAGCAGGAAGCAGCUUAGAGAUGUCAUCGCCCAUUUUUCCAUAGAAAUAAAUGGAAUGUAGAAGUUGACAGAGGGGAGAUGUGACAGUGGCCACUUUAUGGUUUGAAUACAGCCCUUACUGCUCUGCUACUGCAA